RNAcentral lists this transfer RNA (77 nucleotides) under Candidatus Uhrbacteria bacterium CG22_combo_CG10-13_8_21_14_all_47_17. RNAcentral's name for it is "tRNA-Met". It matches the Rfam family "tRNA". From Rfam's summary of the family: Transfer RNA (tRNA) molecules are approximately 80 nucleotides in length. Their secondary structure includes four short double-helical elements and three loops (D, anti-codon, and T loops). Further hydrogen bonds mediate the characteristic L-shaped molecular structure. tRNAs have two regions of fundamental functional importance: the anti-codon, which is responsible for specific mRNA codon recognition, and the 3' end, to which the tRNAs corresponding amino acid is attached (by aminoacyl-tRNA synthetases). tRNAs cope with the degeneracy of the genetic code in two manners: having more than one tRNA (with a specific anti-codon) for a particular amino acid; and 'wobble' base-pairing, i.e. permitting non-standard base-pairing at the 3rd anti-codon position. The record is from RNAcentral. RNAcentral also lists the same sequence under 1 other name. Lineage: Bacteria; Candidatus Uhriibacteriota.
GGCGGGGUAGCUCAGUUGGUUAGAGCGUGGGACUCAUAAGCCCGAGGUCGUGGGUUCGAAUCCCACCCCCGCUACCA